GAUGAACGCUAGCGGCAGGCCUAACACAUGCAAGUCGAGGGAGAAGCCCUUUCGGGGGCAGAAACCGGCGCACGGGUGCGUAACGCGUAUGCAACCUACCUUUCACAGGGGGAUAGCCCGAAGAAAUUUGGAUUAAUACCCCAUAAUAUUAUUGGAUGGCAUCAUUUGAUAAUUAAAACUGCGGUGGUGAAAGAUGGGCAUGCGUCCUAUUAGCUAGUUGGAGUGGUAACGGCACCCCAAGGCUACGAUAGGUAGGGGUCCUGAGAGGGAGAUCCCCCACACUGGUACUGAGACAGGGACCAGACUCCUACGGGAGGCAGCAGUGAGGAAUAUUGGGAAAUGGUCGGAAGACUGAACCAGCCAUGCCGCGUGCAGGAAGAAUGCCUUAUGGGUUGUAAACUGCUUUUAGAUGGGAAGAAUAAGGCGUACGUGUACGUUGAUGACGGUACCAUAUGAAUAAGCAGCGGCUAACUCCGUG
This 478-nucleotide ribosomal RNA is filed under the name uncultured bacterium. RNAcentral's name for it is "partial 16S ribosomal RNA". It matches the Rfam family "Bacterial small subunit ribosomal RNA", at positions 28 to 507 of the family's 1533-position model. The record is from RNAcentral.